RNAcentral lists this ribosomal RNA (403 nucleotides) under uncultured bacterium. Its description in RNAcentral is "partial 16S ribosomal RNA". It matches the Rfam family "Bacterial small subunit ribosomal RNA", at positions 28 to 526 of the family's 1533-position model. The record is from RNAcentral.
GACGAACGCUGGCGGCGUGCCUAAUACAUGCAAGUCGAACGCAGUGGGGACGGGUGAGUAACACGUGGGUAACCUCCCAUCAGAGGGUAUAACACUUGGAAACAGGUGCUAAACCGAUACUGAUGGAUGGAACCGCGGUGCAUUAGCAAGUGGGUGAGGUAACGUCGCACCAAGGCCACGAUGCAUAGCCGACCUGAGAGGGUGAUCGGCCACACUGGGACGGAAACACGGCCCAGACUCCUACGGAAGGCGGCAGUAGGGAAUCAUCGGCAAUGGACGAAAGUCUGACCGUGCAACGCCGCGUAAGUAAAGAAGGUUUUCGGAUCGUAAAACUCUGUUGUUAGGGAAGCGGUAUCUAACCAGAAAGCCACGGCUAACUACGUGCCAGCAGCCGCGGUAAUAC